UAAACCAGCCCAAAAAAUAAAGUGCCCAGGUUGGGUGACCUUCCUCUUCUGCUCGCCAUGUCAAUAGUUGAGAUAUCUGCUACUUUAUCUCUCAUCGAGCAACUUGAUCGUAAAUUAUUUAUCAUCCUCAGAGACGGCAAAAGUUACUCUGGUAUUUUGAGAUCGUUUGAUCAAUAUGGCAACUUAGUUCUUGAAAAUACAAUCGAAAGAAUCUAUGUAGGAAAUCAAUACGGAGAACAAAGUCUGGGUGCAUUUUUCAUCAGGGGGGAAAACGUUGCUUUAUUAGGGGAAAUCGACAUAGACAAAGAAAAAAGACUUCACAAGAAAAAAAUUUGGACAAAAGUUGAUAUAAAAAAAAUCAAGAAACUAUAUGAAACAGAAACAGAAUCUAAAAUGAAAAACAUAAAACAAGACAAAGCUAAUUUAGCUUUUG
Molecule: long non-coding RNA, 433 nt
Organism: Schistocerca gregaria
Lineage: Eukaryota; Metazoa; Arthropoda; Insecta; Orthoptera; Acrididae
Exons: 3
Source: RefSeq, a predicted model, not a curated record